Long non-coding RNA from Micropterus dolomieu (smallmouth bass), 2206 nucleotides. RefSeq lists it as uncharacterized. NCBI's taxonomy places the organism in Eukaryota, Metazoa, Chordata, Actinopteri, Centrarchiformes, Centrarchidae. The transcript has 3 exons. The record is from RefSeq and is a predicted model, not a curated record.
UUUUGGUGUAGGAACGAAGUAGACGUAGUCAUCGCGACGUCACUUGUUGGCUUGAAGGCCUCGAGUUAAAAAAUAAAUAAAUAAAUAAAUAAAUAAUUAACAAAUUUUAGCCACGAGUUCCUUUAACUCGUCGCCAUCUUGACUCGAUUGAACCAGCAGCACCAGACGUGACGAGACUGUGGAGCUAGCUAGCUUCUGUGAUUCUUCAUAAUCAGCGGUUGAUGAAGAACGAAGAUGUCGAACGAAGGCGCGUUGUGCAACCAGGAAUCGAUCCCCACCAUCUGUAUCAUCUGCUGUCAUCUGGACUAAAGGAAAGGUGAACUUGCCAAUUCCGAGAAAUCCUGCAAAGCCCCAGAUAACCUUACUGCAACUGGGGCUUCGUCCUAUAGGAAAAGGUGCAUUAGUGGUGACAGGAGGACCGGUGGGGACUGGUGCUGAUGGGAGAUUUAGACGGCUGGAGGUGGCCUUGUGUAUUAUGUGGCUGGCCAUUGCUGUGACUGUCUCCCUCUUAUCUCUUCCACUGUGGGGUCCAAUCCCCACUGUCCCUCUUAUCUGUGGGUUAGACUUUUCUUCCCCUUUUCCUUCCCAGAAUCGUCCUAGUUUAGUCAACUGUGGUAUUGGUCAUGUGAAAGGUGACUCUGUUGCUUUUCCCCCCUCAUUUCAACCAACUGCAAAGUUCAUGUAAAGAAGUCAUCUUUUUAGUAUCAUCUUCAAAUCUUGUGAGGGAUUUGAUUUCAAGACAUGCUACAUUUAUAAUGUGAUGGGCUUCUGCUGACCUUAUCAACCUUGAGGAUGGUUAUUUUUUUGAUUUUCUGCAAAAGCAAGCCAAGUCAAUGAAAGGCCACUGUCUAGUUUUUCAGAGCAGGAGAAAGACAAAACAUGUAAAUAUAAUGGAAAUGGAAUGAUCUGUGCCUGCACACACUGAUUGUGUUUUUAUUGCUGAAGUAUAACCAGAGGGUUGUGGUACAUUUUCACCUGAGAGCUGCACAUUUCCAGCCCUCCUAAAUAAAACAUUGUGUCGCCAGGCGCCGGUAAGUGUCCCUCAAAGAGCAGAGGGAGGAAGGGCGAGGGUAAAAAGCGUCCAGGUUAAGUUGUUUGAAAGGCUCCGGGUAUUAAGAGGCAUUUUACACUUAAGAAGUUGGUUUCGCUGGGUUUUCUGUUUCCCCUCUUAUUGAUUGAUGCUCAACUAUCAAUGCAUAAUAGAAAAGCACUCAGAGCAAAUGCAGGGUUAUGGCCUUGGGAGGGAGUCGGCAGACGAGACUGCAGCACCCCCCCACUCCAAUGCCAUUAUUGGCCCAUAAAGGAUCCCUCGGGAAGGCCACGGUGUUCAGAUCAGCACACACCAAAUACCCAAUUAAAAAAGGCUUUAAAUUCCCUCCUCUUUCCUGGGCAAAAAUCAAUCCGAAUUCAAUCUAUUCGGCUAGGAUUCCGACAGAGCAGGUAAUUGCCCAUAAUCGGUCAGCUAGGUGACAACAGCUUAAAGGGGAGACACUAAUACAAUCAGGUAUUUGCUUUCAACGCCCGGCCUGGGCCCAGGCCUCGCCUGUCGAAAAACAGGUAGAGUGCAGUUUAUGUAGCCAUCAGACAAAGGCGUAUAUAAAGUUACACAAGUCUUCUAUUGUGGGGCGCACGACAGUUGAUAAAGAGAUUCUGUGAAGUACUGGAGGAAUGAUACUUCCUAAAUGACCCAUCAUAAAGCUGCAAUAAAUGCAUUCAGCGAUCAUCUUCGAAAAUAGCUUGUCAUGGAACUGGAAAUGAAAUAGCAAUCUUCUUCAAUAAAUGGUUGACAUUGUCAACAAAUACUAUUAGCAUAAUUUGCAUACAAUCAUGUCAGGAUUAUCUCAAUGAAAUUCUACACUAGUGCUAAAGACAUGACAUACUUAAUGGUAGCAUUGGAUAAGUAGGAUACCUAAUGGGGGUAUAUUAGUGUAUAACCCCAUAACUCCACACCACCUAGCUGGAUGUUUUUCCAUUGCCUAAUGCAUAUGCUCUCGUGCUGCCUUAAUGUUUUUUGUUCUCAAGCAGCUCUCUGGAAAAGGAUUUGUCAUAUUUCAAACUUCUGACACCGUCUGUAUGAAAAUUAAAACAGACCUGGUCACAACACAGCUGCUGUGGCAAGUUGACAUUUUCCUGACAUUUUGGAUAUUGAAACUUUGAAAAAAUCCACGGUAUAAUAACAUAACAAAAAAGAUUAAAAAAGCAGUAC